GAUGACUUCGGUCACGACGGUAUGGCGAGCUUUCGCCGUCCACGUUUCUCUUUCUUCAAGAAGACAAAAAACCGCGUCGACCGGUUCCCCGAAUGGGCCCGUAGCUCAGUUGGUUAGAGCACACGCUUGAUAAGCGUGGGGUCGGAAGUUCAAGUCUUCCCGGGCCCACCAUUUGCACCAGCAAAUGAAAUUUGCUGUAGCGAAUGAGGGUUAGGGAUGAUGGAAUGUUGGUGAUGCGGAUUGUUGCCGAACCUGGGCUUGUCCUGGGUGAUCGAGCUGGAGGGGCUGUAGCUCAGCUGGGAGAGCACCUGCUUUGCAAGCAGGGGGUCAGCGGUUCGAUCCCGCUCAGCUCCACCAAAUCGAUUGGUGUUGAGACUGACGGCAUUUGUCUUUUGAAGAAAUAAAAGUUUUGCAUUGGCUUAGGCUGGUGCGUGUUCUGCAUACAUUGUGAAGAGAAGAUUGAUCUGGAGGCUUCCAGGUGUUGUGGGUUUUGCCCAUGAUGUCCGAGCCCAGUUCCUGUGAAACCAUGGAUGGCCUAGCCGGCCGGAUGUGGUGGAGGGAUUGGAGGUAGGUAGGAAGCUUGUCGCUCUGGAUCGUCAGCGUAAACCGCGUAGCGGUUUAUCGCGUGUUGUUCGUUGCCUUUGGGCAUCGUCUGACGGACGAUCGGAUUA
RNAcentral lists this transfer RNA (671 nucleotides) under Rhizobium leguminosarum bv. trifolii. RNAcentral's name for it is "partial contains 16S ribosomal RNA, 16S-23S ribosomal RNA intergenic spacer, and 23S ribosomal RNA". The stretch from base 95 to 168 matches the Rfam family "tRNA". Lineage: Bacteria; Pseudomonadati; Pseudomonadota; Alphaproteobacteria; Hyphomicrobiales; Rhizobiaceae. The record is from RNAcentral.